This 1351-nucleotide ribosomal RNA is filed under the name metagenome. Its description in RNAcentral is "bacterial SSU rRNA". It matches the Rfam family "Bacterial small subunit ribosomal RNA". The record is from RNAcentral.
AGAGUUUGAUUCUGGCUCAGAACGAACGCUGGCAGCGUGGAUUAGGCAUGCAAGUCGAACGGGAAUCCUUGAGUUCAAGUUUUCGGACGAGAACUCUUGGAGGAGAGUGGCGAAAGGUGAGGAACACGUGGGUAACCUGCCCUCAAGUUGGGGAUAACUUCUCGAAAGAGAGGCUAAUACCGGAUGUGAACCCCCUGGGCAUCCAGGGGAGUUUAAAGGUGGGGAUCCGUAAGGACCUGCCGCUUGAGGAGGGGCCCGCGCCCCAUCAGCUUGUUGGUGAGGUAACGGCUCACCAAGGCUUACGGGUAGCUGGUCUGAGAGGAUGGUCAGCCACACUGGGACUGAGACACUGCCCAGACUCCUACGGGAGGCUGCAGUCGAGGAUCAUUCGCAAUGCGCGAAAGCGUUGUUCGGAUUUACUGGGCGUAAAGAGUGCGUAGGUGGUGUCGUAUGUCGGGUGUGAAAGCCCACCGCUCAACGGUGGAAUUGCACUCGAAACUGCGACGCUAGAGUGCAGGAUGGGAGAGCGGAAUUCUUGGUGUAGCGGUGAAAUGCGUUGAUAUCAAGAGGAACACCGGUGGCGAAGGCGGCUCUCUGGAAUGCAACUGACACUGAGGCACGAAAGCUGGGGGAGCAAACAGGAUUAGAUACCCUGGUAGUCCCAGCCGUAAACGGUGUGCACUUGGUGUGGGGGGUGUUGACCCCCCCCGUGCCGGAGCUAACGCGUUAAGUGCACCGCCUGGGGAGUACGGCCGCAAGGCUAAAACUCAAAGAAAUUGACGGGGGCCCGCACAAGCGGAGGAGCAUGUGGCUUAAUUCGAUGCAACGCGAAGAACCUUACCAGGGCUUGACAUGUAACUGCACAUCCUGUGAAAGCAGGAUUCCUUCGAGGGUGUUACACAGGUGCUGCAUGGCUGUCGUCAGUUCGUGCCGUGAGGUGUUGGGUUAAGUCCCGCAACGAACGCAACCCUUGUGUUUAGUUGCCACCGCAGGUGAUGAGCCUGCGAGCACUCUAGACAGACUGCCCGUACAAGCGGGAGGAAGGUGGGGAUGACGUCAAGUCAGUAUGGCCCUUACGUCCUGGGCUGCACACGUGCUACAAUGGUCGGUACAGAUGGAUGCAAUGCCGCGAGGCGGAGCAAAUCCGCAAAACCGGCCCCAGUUCGGAUUGGAGUCUGAAACUCGACUCCAUGAAGUUGGAUUCGCUAGUAACGGCGCAUCAGCUACGGCGCCGUGAAUACGUUCCCGGGCCUUGUACACACCGCCCGUCACAUCAUGAAAGCCGUCUGCACCCGAAGUCGCUGAGCCAACCCGCAAGGGGGGCAGGUGCCGAAGGUGUGGGUGGUGAUUG